RNAcentral lists this non-coding RNA (23 nucleotides) under Arabidopsis thaliana (thale cress). Lineage: Eukaryota; Viridiplantae; Streptophyta; Magnoliopsida; Brassicales; Brassicaceae. The record is from RNAcentral.
CAACAAUAUGAUACAAUGGUAUG